This 497-nucleotide ribosomal RNA is filed under the name uncultured bacterium. RNAcentral's name for it is "partial 16S ribosomal RNA". It matches the Rfam family "Bacterial small subunit ribosomal RNA", at positions 28 to 507 of the family's 1533-position model. The record is from RNAcentral.
GACGAACGCUGGCGGCGUGCCUAAUACAUGCAAGUUGAGCGCUGAAGGUUGGUCCUUGUACCAACUGGAUGAGCAGCGAACGGGUGAGUAACGCGUGGGGAAUCUGCCUUUGAGCGGGGGACAACAUUUGGAAACGAAUGCUAAUACCGCAUAAAAACUUUAAACACAAGUUUUAAGUUUGAAAGAUGCAAUUGCAUCACUCAAAGAUGAUCCCGCGUUGUAUUAGCUAGUUGGUGGGGUAAAGGCUCACCAAGGCGAUGAUACAUAGCCGACCUGAGAGGGUGAUCGGCCACAUUGGGACUGAGACACGGCCCAAACUCCUACGGGAGGCAGCAGUAGGGAAUCUUCGGCAAUGGACGAAAGUCUGACCGAGCAACGCCGCGUGAGUGAAGAAGGUUUUCGGAUCGUAAAACUCUGUUGGUAGAGAAGAACGUUGGUGAGAGUGGAAAGCUCAUCAAGUGACGGUAACUACCCAGAAAGGGACGGCUAACUACGUG